AUAUUUAUCUGAUGGGGAAUGUCCACAUCACAAAAGUGUUUUCCCACAGGCAAGGCUUACCUAUUGCAUUCCAGACGUGCUUAUCCCUGAAAGAAUCCCAAAUCCGGGAAACCCAACUGCAUAAUUUGUGCCAAUGGGAGGCAGACUUUGAAUUUUCCAA
RNAcentral lists this small nuclear RNA (160 nucleotides) under Sorex araneus (European shrew). RNAcentral describes it as "U1 spliceosomal RNA (ENSSARG00000019878.1)". It matches the Rfam family "U1 spliceosomal RNA". From Rfam's summary of the family: U1 is a small nuclear RNA (snRNA) component of the spliceosome (involved in pre-mRNA splicing). Its 5' end forms complementary base pairs with the 5' splice junction, thus defining the 5' donor site of an intron. There are significant differences in sequence and secondary structure between metazoan and yeast U1 snRNAs, the latter being much longer (568 nucleotides as compared to 164 nucleotides in human). Lineage: Eukaryota; Metazoa; Chordata; Mammalia; Eulipotyphla; Soricidae. The record is from RNAcentral.